GAUGAACGCUGGCGGCGUGCCUAAUACAUGCAAGUCGAGCGAACAGAUGAGGAGCUUGCUCCUCUGACGUUAGCGGCGGACGGGUGAGUAACACGUGGAUAACCUACCUAUAAGACUGGGAUAACUUCGGGAAACCGGAGCUAAUACCGGAUAAUAUAUUGAACCGCAUGGUUCAAUAGUGAAAGACGGUUUUGCUGUCACUUAUAGAUGGAUCCGCGCCGCAUUAGCUAGUUGGUAAGGUAACGGCUUACCACGGCAACGAUGCCUAGGCGACCUGAGAGGGUGAACGGCCACACUGGAACUGAGACACGGUCCAGACUCCUACGAGAGGCAGCAGUAGGGAAUCUUCCGCAAUGGGCGAAAGCCUGACGGAGCAACGCCGCGUGAGUGAUGAAGGUCUUCGGAUCGUAAAACUCUGUUAUUAGGGAAGAACAAAUGUGUAAGUAACUAUGCACGUCUUGACGGUACCUAAUCAGAAAGCCACGGCUAACUACG
RNAcentral lists this ribosomal RNA (495 nucleotides) under uncultured bacterium. RNAcentral's name for it is "partial 16S ribosomal RNA". It matches the Rfam family "Bacterial small subunit ribosomal RNA", at positions 28 to 505 of the family's 1533-position model. The record is from RNAcentral.